UCUGGCUAUUUCACAAAAAAAUCCUCCAACAUUCUAUGAAUCACAACGAAGUCCAUCUCACCCUCUCCCCCUCUCCUGCUCUCGGUUGCCGCGCUCCGUCGCUGUCGUCCUUGGCGCCCUGCUCCUGGCCACUGACGCCGCAUCCUCCCCCCCACCGCCCCCACCCCCACCCCCGUGGCCGCUGCUGGUCGCGAGGCCCGUGCGGGGAAGCAGGCGGAGGCGGAGGUUCACGGGGACUGGGUGGCCGUGGCGGAGGCCGGCGGCGCUUGCGGGAAUGGAGGUUGGAGGAGGACGGCGAGGCGGAGGCGUGCGGGGACCGGGUGGCCGUGGGCCGUGGCGGAGGCCGGCGGCGCCGAGACUGGAGGUUGGUGGAGGACGACAUGGUGCUGGACUAUAGCUCGGCUAGGUGGUCACCGACCAUGCAUCUGCAGCUUCCGCACCCCCUCGUGAUCAUUCCUGCUCCCUAUUACUGGUGCCAUCAACCUCCCAUGGACGAUGCCCUCAUUGUGUUCGAUCAAAUGGGCAUAAAGGGUGCAUAAGCAGUACUGCUGUGUUGAUCAAUGGAGGAGGCAAUUCGCAUAAGGGAAUGAUAUUUCAAUGUUUCUUACCUUGAGCUCAGAAGCAUUUCCUUGGCUGCAAAAAUUAGAGGACAAAGAUUCAAUUGUUCCCAGCUUAGUUAUUGAAAAGUGACCUGCAUCACUACCUUCACUGCCAACCAAACUCUCAUGCAUGGCAGGUGAUUCUCCUGUGCAUAUUGUCUGUUUGGAAGGCACCAACAAGGAGACUUCAGAAUUGCUAUAAGUUUUCUUCAUUCUUUGGUUCUAGCAAUAAUAAAAUGGUUCCUGCUGGUUUCAUGGUUCUAUCUGUUUAUCUGCUUAUCUUUUAUUAUUCUUUAUUCUUAGAAGCAGAUUGCUCGCCCGCAAAUGCUUUCAUUCUUGGUGAUGCCUGACACAGAGCUCUAGCGAUUGCAGUAGCAAAGUACCUCUUGAGAGAUGGAGAUGCAAGUCGGCCCCAUUAUUUAGCGCCGGUGGAAGGUCCUUAUCAUUUUCUUUUAAAUAGGCAGGGUGCAAGAUGGUAUGCAAUUUGUAAAUGUUAGGGGACCAAAUGCAGCUGCCAGGAAUGGCGGAUUUAUAUGUAUUUUGUACUCAUCAGCUUUCUAAAUUGCAUAUAUUGAUGGUCCAAAAUGUAUAUAUUAAUUAAUCUGAUUUGAUUGAUUAUUGUGCUA
Panicum virgatum (switchgrass) is the source of this 1225-nucleotide long non-coding RNA. RefSeq lists it as uncharacterized. The transcript has 3 exons. The record is from RefSeq and is a predicted model, not a curated record. NCBI's taxonomy places the organism in Eukaryota, Viridiplantae, Streptophyta, Magnoliopsida, Poales, Poaceae.